Molecule: ribosomal RNA, 346 nt
Filed under: uncultured bacterium
Lineage: Bacteria
Description: partial 16S ribosomal RNA
Rfam family: Bacterial small subunit ribosomal RNA
Source: RNAcentral
CCUACGGGAGACAGCAGUGAGGAAUAGUGGUCAAUGGACGAGAGUCUGAACCAGCCAAGUAGCGUGAAGGAUGACUGCCCUAUGGGUUGAAAACUUCUUUUAUAUGGGAAUAAAAUGUUCCACGUGUGGGAUUUUGUAUGUACCAUAUGAAUAAGGAUCGGCUAACUCCGUGCCAGCAGCCGCGGUAAUACGGAGGAUCCGAGCGUUAUCCGGAUUUAUUGGGGUGAAAGGGAGCGUAGGGGGAUUGUUAAGUCAGUUGUGACAGUUUGCGGCUCAACCGUAAAAUUGCCGUUGAAACUGGCAGUCUUGCGUCCAGUAUAGGUGGGCGGAUUUCGUUGUGUCGCGG